UAUUUUUCUCAACUUCUGAAAAUAUUCUUCACUUGAAUUUAUCCCUGAAUAGUUACACACCAGUAUGAGAAAUUGUGGUACCAACAUCCUUGCUCUCUCCAGAACAAAAGGAACAGAAACUCAGGACACAUACCAGAGUGAUAAAAAGAUUGGCUGUGAUCCUUCUCAGCAUGCAAAGAAAAUUGAAAGCAUGACAAAGUUAAGGACACUGGAGAGCAUCUAAUGAGAAAAAUGUUCUCUGAACUUUGAAAAAAAA
Non-coding RNA from Macaca mulatta (Rhesus monkey), 256 nucleotides. NCBI's taxonomy places the organism in Eukaryota, Metazoa, Chordata, Mammalia, Primates, Cercopithecidae. The record is from RefSeq and is a predicted model, not a curated record.